Molecule: non-coding RNA, 486 nt
Organism: Sciurus carolinensis (gray squirrel)
Lineage: Eukaryota; Metazoa; Chordata; Mammalia; Rodentia; Sciuridae
Source: the annotation of a RefSeq genome assembly
CUCUCAGGCACUGAACUCUGGGUCUGAGGCAGAACUAACACUUUUGUGCAGAGGGAUAUGUGCCACAGGAUGCUCUCCUGCCUGCUGUGCGUGUCGGUGGCCUUCAUCUACUCUGGAUUCAGUGUGGCCCAGAAAGUGACUCAAGUUCAGUCAGCCACAUCUGGUCAGGAGGGAGAAGCAGUCACCCUGGGCUGUUCCUAUGAAACAACUUGGAGUGGAUACUAUAUUUUUUGGUACAAACAACUUCCCAGUGGAAAGAUCAUUUUCCUUAUUCGUCAGAGCACUUCUGAUCCGAAUGAAAUCAAAGGUCGCUACUCUGUCCAGUUCCAGAAAGCAGCUAAAUUCAUCAGCCUUACCAUUUCACCCUUACAGCUGGAAGACUCAGCCAAAUAUUUCUGUGUUCUCUGGGAACUCACAGUGUUUGAAUUGAUAGUAAAAGCUAAACAAAAACUCAGGAGCUCCAUAGGAGAUGGGACCCCGCUAUAG